RNAcentral lists this transfer RNA (67 nucleotides) under Artyfechinostomum malayanum. Its description in RNAcentral is "tRNA-Leu". The record is from RNAcentral. Lineage: Eukaryota; Metazoa; Platyhelminthes; Trematoda; Plagiorchiida; Echinostomatidae.
UUUAGGGUGCCAGAUGUAGUUAAUGGGUGUGAUUUAGGAUCAUAUUAAGGUCUCAGACCCUCUAGCG